Molecule: ribosomal RNA, 839 nt
Filed under: uncultured Staphylococcus sp.
Lineage: Bacteria; Bacillati; Bacillota; Bacilli; Caryophanales; Staphylococcaceae
Description: bacterial SSU rRNA
Rfam family: Bacterial small subunit ribosomal RNA
Source: RNAcentral
ACGGACGAGAAGCUUGCUUCUCUGAUGUUAGCGGCGGACGGGUGAGUAACACGUGGAUAACCUACCUAUAAGACUGGGAUAACUUCGGGAAACCGGAGCUAAUACCGGAUAAUAUUUUGAACCGCAUGGUUCAAAAGUGAAAGACGGUCUUGCUGUCACUUAUAGAUGGAUCCGCGCUGCAUUAGCUAGUUGGUAAGGUAACGGCUUACCAAGGCAACGAUGCAUAGCCGACCUGAGAGGGUGAUCGGCCACACUGGAACUGAGACACGGUCCAGACUCCUACGGGAGGCAGCAGUAGGGAAUCUUCCGCAAUGGGCGAAAGCCUGACGGAGCAACGCCGCGUGAGUGAUGAAGGUCUUCGGAUCGUAAAACUCUGUUAUUAGGGAAGAACAUAUGUGUAAGUAACUGUGCACAUCUUGACGGUACCUAAUCAGAAAGCCACGGCUAACUACGUGCCAGCAGCCGCGGUAAUACGUAGGUGGCAAGCGUUAUCCGGAAUUAUUGGGCGUAAAGCGCGCGUAGGCGGUUUUUUAAGUCUGAUGUGAAAGCCCACGGCUCAACCGUGGAGGGUCAUUGGAAACUGGAAAACUUGAGUGCAGAAGAGGAAAGUGGAAUUCCAUGUGUAGCGGUGAAAUGCGCAGAGAUAUGGAGGAACACCAGUGGCGAAGGCGACUUUCUGGUCUGUAACUGACGCUGAUGUGCGAAAGCGUGGGGAUCAAACAGGAUUAGAUACCCUGGUAGUCCACGCCGUAAACGAUGAGUGCUAAGUGUUAGGGGGUUUCCGCCCCUUAGUGCUGCAGCUACGCAUUAAGCACUCCGCCUGGGGAUUACGACCGCAA